CGAAAUGCGAUAAGUAAUGUGAAUUGCAGAAUUCAGUGAAUCAUCGAAUCUUUGAACGCACCUUGCGCUCCUUGGUAUUCCUUGGAGCAUGCCUGUUUGAGUAUCAUGAAAUCUUCAAAGUAAAUCUUUUGUUAACUCAAUUGGUUUCUACUUUGGUAUUGGAAGUCUUUGCAGCUUCACACCUGCUCCUCUUUGUUCAUUAGCUGGAUCUCAGUGUUAUGCUUGGUUCCACUCGGCGUGAUAAGUUAUCUAUCGCUGAGGACACUGUAAAAGGUGGCCAAGGUAAAUGCAGAUGAACCGCUUCUAAUAGUCCAUUGACUUGGACAAUACUUUUAUGAUCUGAUCUCAAAUCAGGUAGGACUACCCGCUGAACUUAAGC
Molecule: unclassified non-coding RNA, 379 nt
Filed under: plant metagenome
Description: partial contains 5.8S ribosomal RNA, internal transcribed spacer 2, and large subunit ribosomal RNA
Rfam family: 5.8S ribosomal RNA (bases 1-106)
Source: RNAcentral